Molecule: ribosomal RNA, 1488 nt
Filed under: uncultured bacterium
Lineage: Bacteria
Description: bacterial SSU rRNA
Rfam family: Bacterial small subunit ribosomal RNA
Source: RNAcentral
CCUGGCUCAGAUUGAACGCUGGCGGCAGGCCUAACACAUGCAAGUCGAACGGUAACAGGAAGCAGCUUGCUGCUUUGCUGACGAGUGGCGGACGGGUGAGUAAUGUCUGGGAAACUGCCUGAUGGAGGGGGAUAACUACUGGAAACGGUAGCUAAUACCGCAUAACGUCGCAAGACCAAAGAGGGGGACCUUAGGGCCUCUUGCCAUCGGAUGUGCCCAGAUGGGAUUAGCUAGUAGGUGGGGUAACGGCUCACCUAGGCGACGAUCCCUAGCUGGUCUGAGAGGAUGACCAGCCACACUGGAACUGAGACACGGUCCAGACUCCUACGGGAGGCAGCAGUGGGGAAUAUUGCACAAUGGACGCAAGCCUGAUGCAGCCAUGCCGCGUGUAUGAAGAAGGCCUUCGGGUUGUAAAGUACUUUCAGCGGGGAGGAAGGGAGUAAAGUUAAUACCUUUGCUCAUUGACGUUACCCGCAGAAGAAGCACCGGCUAACUCCGUGCCAGCAGCCGCGGUAAUACGGAGGGUGCAAGCGUUAAUCGGAAUUACUGGGCGUAAAGCGCACGCAGGCGGUUUGUUAAGUCAGAUGUGAAAUCCCCGGGCUCAACCUGGGAACUGCAUCUGAUACUGGCAAGCUUGAGUCUCGUAGAGGGGGGUAGAAUUCCAGGUGUAGCGGUGAAAUGCGUAGAGAUCUGGAGGAAUACCGGUGGCGAAGGCGGCCCCCUGGACGAAGACUGACGCUCAGGUGCGAAAGCGUGGGGAGCAAACAGGAUUAGAUACCCUGGUAGUCCACGCCGUAAACGAUGUCGACUUGGAGGUUGUGCCCUUGAGGCGUGGCUUCCGGAGCUAACGCGUUAAGUCGACCGCCUGGGGAGUACGGCCGCAAGUGUAAAACUCAAAUGAAUUGACGGGGGCCCGCACAAGCGGUGGAGCAUGUGGUUUAAUUCGAUGCAACGCGAAGAACCUUACCUGGUCUUGACAUCCACGGAAGUUUUCAGAGAUGAGAAUGUGCCUUCGGGAACCGUGAGACAGGUGCUGCAUGGCUGUCGUCAGCUCGUGUUGUGAAAUGUUGGGUUAAGUCCCACAACGAGCGCAACCCUUAUCCUUUGUUGCCAGCGGUCCGGCCGGGAACUCAAAGGAGACUGCCAGUGAUAAACUGGAGGAAGGUGGGGAUGACGUCAAGUCAUCAUGGCCCUUACGACCAGGGCUACACACGUGCUACAAUGGCGCAUACAAAGAGAAGCGACCUCGCGAGAGCAAGCGGACCUCAUAAAGUGCGUCGUAGUCCGGAUUGGAGUCUGCAACUCGACUCCAUGAAGUCGGAAUCGCUAGUAAUCGUGGAUCAGAAUGCCACGGUGAAUACGUUCCCGGGCCUUGUACACACCGCCCGUCACACCAUGGGAGUGGGUUGCAAAAGAAGUAGGUAGCUUAACCUUCGGGAGGGCGCUUACCACUUUGUGAUUCAUGACUGGGGUGAAGUCGUAACAAGG